Hemibagrus wyckioides is the source of this 776-nucleotide long non-coding RNA. RefSeq lists it as uncharacterized. Lineage: Eukaryota; Metazoa; Chordata; Actinopteri; Siluriformes; Bagridae. The record is from RefSeq and is a predicted model, not a curated record. The transcript has 4 exons.
UGCUGCUCCACUCGUUCCUUCUUCCCCUUCACCAAAAUUUUCCAUUUCAGCUCCUAACAACAAACAUGGAAAACAGACCACAUAACAAAUGAUGUCAGAUUUUGUAAACUAAUUUGAAACACCUGAAUUAUAGUGUUCAGUCAAAAACGCAGUUAAACCAAGACAUUUACAGAGUCGCUGAUGUUCAGGAUGAUCAUCACAGCAUUUUUGAUUACAGCAGCAGCACGGAGAUGAAAGUCUACACUACUGAGUUUGUUUGAAGAAGCCUCCUGGUGGUCCAGCACCAGGAUCCCGUGCUCUCAUUGCUGUGGCCUGGGUUUGAUUCCCGGGCAGGGCGCUAUCCCAGCUAACUCUUCAAGCCCGGAUUAAAUGGGACGGUUGCAUCAGGAAGGUCAUCCGGCGUAAAACCUGUGCCAAAUCGAAACAUGCGGACCAAAUGAUCCGCUGCACCGAACCCAAAUAGGAAGCAGCCAAAAGAACAACAACAACAUAGUACUGUACCUCAGGUGAGGGAAGGCUGUCACACUGGUCAUUGUGAAGUGGUUUAGUGAGCAGUUUAUCCCCCAGGAUAGAGCGCAGCUGCUGGGCCAUUACUGCCUGUUGUUCCACCGAGCAGUGAUUCUCCAGAGACAGAAUUAGAGGACCACCUUAAAUGCAUACUCAGCGAUGGCCUCCACCACCUCUCUGAAAGGUACUUUAGAAGUAAGAGUGUGUCCAUGAUAAAUCACUGGUUCUCGAUCUCCAUCCCAGCAAUCGAGCUCAACACAGCGGCAGCC